AGGAUGAACGCUGGCGGCGUGCUUAACACAUGCAAGUCGAACGAACCUUCGGGUUAGUGGCGGACGGGUGAGUAACGCGUGAGAAUCUGCCCUCAGGAGGGGGAUAACGGUUGGAAACGACCGCUAAUACCCCAUAUGCCGCGAGGUGAAAUGAAUUUCGCCUGAGGAUGAGCUCGCGUCUGAUUAGCUAGUUGGUGGGGUAAAGGCCUACCAAGGCAUCGAUCAGUAGCUGGUCUGAGAGGAUGAUCAGCCACACUGGGACUGAGACACGGCCCAGACUCCUACGGGAGGCAGCAGUGGGGAAUUUUCCGCAAUGGGCGAAAGCCUGACGGAGCAACGCCGCGUGAGGGAUGAAGGCCUCUGGGCUGUAAACCUCUUUUAUCAAGGAAGAAGAUCUGACGGUACUUGAUGAAUAAGCCACGGCUAAUUCCGUGCCAGCAGCCGCGGUAAUACGGGAGUGGCAAGCGUUAUCCGGAAUUAUUGGGCGUAAAGCGUCCGCAGGCGGCCCUUCAAGUCUGCUGUUAAAAAGUGGAGCUUAACUCCAUCAUGGCAGUGGAAACUGUUGGGCUUGAGUGUGGUAGGGGCAGAGGGAAUUCCCGGUGUAGCGGUGAAAUGCGUAGAUAUCGGGAAGAACACCAGUGGCGAAGGCGCUCUGCUGGGCCAUCACUGACGCUCAUGGACGAAAGCCAGGGGAGCGAAAGGGAUUAGAUACCCCUGUAGUCCUGGCCGUAAACGAUGAACACUAGGUGUCGGGGGAAUCGACCCCCUCGGUGUCGUAGCCAACGCGUUAAGUGUUCCGCCUGGGGAGUACGCACGCAAGUGUGAAACUCAAAGGAAUUGACGGGGGCCCGCACAAGCGGUGGAGUAUGUGGUUUAAUUCGAUGCAACGCGAAGAACCUUACCAGGGUUUGACAUCCUGCGAAUCUCUUGGAAACGAGAGAGUGCCUUCGGGAACGCAGUGACAGGUGGUGCAUGGCUGUCGUCAGCUCGUGUCGUGAGAUGUUGGGUUAAGUCCCGCAACGAGCGCAACCCACGUCUUUAGUUGCCAGCAUUUAGUUGGGCACUCUAGAGAGACCGCCGGUGAUAAACCGGAGGAAGGUGUGGAUGACGUCAAGUCAUCAUGCCCCUUACAUCCUGGGCUACACACGUACUACAAUGCUACGGACAAAGGGCAGCAAGUUCGCGAGGACAAGCAAAUCCCAUAAACCGUGGCUCAGUUCAGAUCGUAGGCUGCAACUCGCCUACGUGAAGGAGGAAUCGCUAGUAAUCGCAGGUCAGCAUACUGCGGUGAAUACGUUCCCGGGCCUUGUACACACCGCCCGUCACACCAUGGAAGUUGGCCACGCCCGAAGCCGUUACUCCAACCCUCGGGAGGAGGACGUCGAAGGUGGGGCUGAUGACUGGGGUGAAGUCGUAACAAGGUAUCCGUACCGGAAGG
RNAcentral lists this ribosomal RNA (1438 nucleotides) under Synechococcus sp. WH 8103. Its description in RNAcentral is "bacterial SSU rRNA". It matches the Rfam family "Bacterial small subunit ribosomal RNA". RNAcentral also lists the same sequence under 3 other names. The record is from RNAcentral. Lineage: Bacteria; Bacillati; Cyanobacteriota; Cyanophyceae; Synechococcales; Synechococcaceae.